RNAcentral lists this ribosomal RNA (508 nucleotides) under uncultured bacterium. RNAcentral's name for it is "bacterial SSU rRNA". It matches the Rfam family "Bacterial small subunit ribosomal RNA", at positions 8 to 526 of the family's 1533-position model. The record is from RNAcentral.
AGAGUUUGAUCAUGGCUCAGGAUGAACGCUGGCGGCGUGCCUAAUACAUGCAAGUCGAACGAGGUGCCUUUGUAGCAAUACGAGGGUAUCCUAGUGGCGAACGGGUGAGUAACGCGUUGGUGACCUACCCCAAAGUGUGGGAUACCAGUCCGAAAGGACUGCUAAUACCGCAUGUGGUCAUCGGGUUUAGAAACCGAUGUCGAAAGCAGCAAUGCGCUUUGGGAGGGACCUGCGUCCCAUCAGCUAGUUGGUAGGGUAACGGCCUACCAAGGCGACGACGGGUAGGGGACCUGAGAGGGUGGCCCCCCACAAUGGAACUGAAAUACGGUCCAUACACCUACGGGUGGCAGCAGUAGGGAAUAUUGCACAAUGGACGAAAGUCUGAUGCAGCAACGCCGCGUGCACGAUGAAGGUCUUCGGAUCGUAAAGUGCUUUUCUGGGAGAUGAGAAAGGACAGUAUCCCAGGAAUAAGUCUCGGCUAACUACGUGCCAGCCGCCGCGGUAAUAC